Aspergillus taichungensis is the source of this 89-nucleotide non-coding RNA. The record is from the annotation of a GenBank genome assembly. Lineage: Eukaryota; Fungi; Ascomycota; Eurotiomycetes; Eurotiales; Aspergillaceae.
CCCCUGAUGGUGUAGUUGGUUUAUCACGUCUGACUGUAAUGGAAAUACCUGUCAUCAGAAGGUCGCUGGCUCGAUUCCGGCUCGGGGGA